Molecule: ribosomal RNA, 383 nt
Filed under: Arganthomyza duplex
Lineage: Eukaryota; Metazoa; Arthropoda; Insecta; Diptera; Anthomyzidae
Description: partial 16S ribosomal RNA
Source: RNAcentral
UCGAAGGUAGCAUAAUCAGUAGUCUUUUAAUUGAAGGCUGGAAUGAAUGGUUGGAUGAGAUAUUAACUGUUUCAUUUAAAUUUUUUAUAAAAUUUUAUUUUUUAGUUAAAAAGCUAAGAUUUUAUUAAAAGACGAGAAGACCCUAUAAAUCUUUAUAUUUUUUAUAUAUUAAUUAUUUAGAUAUUUUAAAUUAUUAUAAUAAAAAAUAUUUUAUUGGGGUGAUAUUAAAAUUUAAAAAACUUUUAAUUUUUAAUAAACAUAAAUUUAUGAAUAAUUGAUCCAUUAUUAAUGAUUAAAAAUUUAAGUUACUUUAGGGAUAACAGCGUAAUUUUUUUGGAGAGUUCAUAUCGAUAAAAAAGAUUGCGACCUCGAUGUUGGAUUAA